This is a non-coding RNA of Macaca mulatta (Rhesus monkey), 499 nucleotides long. The record is from RefSeq and is a predicted model, not a curated record. Lineage: Eukaryota; Metazoa; Chordata; Mammalia; Primates; Cercopithecidae.
CUUUCUUUUUUUUUUAAGGGAGCCAGCCUUCCCCGGAACAGUUGGGUCCACCGCUGCGGGAGGGGAAUAGAGAUGCGCAUCCCUGGCGCCCCAGCGUCGUCUGCGGCCUUCUGCCCCGUGGUUACCGUUUUCCGUGGCUUCCCCGAGACACUCCCUGCCCUGGACGCGGCCUCUGACUCCAGCAUCCACUCCAGUAAAUAGCCCCGACCUGGACAGCUUGCGCAGGCAGCUUUGUUGGCAUUUCAGAUUUGAGAUGAUUUCCUCGGGCAUGAUUCCCAGAAGCGAAAUCGGGUAGGAGAAGUGCAUUUGCCUGUAAGGGCCGUGGUUGGCACAGCCAAACGUCUGCCUGGUCCAGUGGUGCCAAUGUAUCCGACCACCCGCAGUGCACAGGCAAAACCUUGCUUGCAGAAGGGUGGGAUAGUUUGGUUUCAUCUCUUUCCCAGAUUUUUAAAGUACUGUUGAAGAUAUUAAGCAAUUUAAAAAGUAAUUUUACCUAUAA